Long non-coding RNA from Brassica oleracea var. oleracea, 385 nucleotides. RefSeq lists it as uncharacterized. The record is from RefSeq and is a predicted model, not a curated record. The transcript has 3 exons. Lineage: Eukaryota; Viridiplantae; Streptophyta; Magnoliopsida; Brassicales; Brassicaceae.
GUAACUAAUCAAAAAUGCUUUAGAGCUUUAAAAAGAUUGAGAUGGUUUUCAUGUAGAAUAUAAUAUCUUCACAAGCACUAAAAACUGAUAUUUUCGUCAAUGGCAACACUAUAUAGGGUUACGUGCUCGGUAACCCAAUGACAGAACGUAAAAUUGAUGAUAACCAUCGUAUUCCAUAUGCUCAUGGUAUGGCGCUCAUCUCUGAUGAGCUCUACGAGUUGGCAUGCAGUCGCUGAAAAGAAUAUGCAAAGGGGAAUAUACAUAUGUUGAUCCACUUAACACAAAAUGCUUGAAACUCGUUGAAGAAUAUCAUAAGUGUAUAGAUGGAUUAAACCUAUAUAGUAUACUACAACCUUGGUGCAAACAUGCGAAUCCAGAUUGCUUU